RNAcentral lists this unclassified non-coding RNA (433 nucleotides) under soil metagenome. RNAcentral's name for it is "partial contains 5.8S ribosomal RNA, internal transcribed spacer 2, and large subunit ribosomal RNA". The stretch from base 1 to 120 matches the Rfam family "5.8S ribosomal RNA", at positions 35 to 154 of the family's 154-position model. The record is from RNAcentral.
GAUGAAGAACGCAGCGAAAUGCGAUACGUAAUGUGAAUUGCAGAAUUCAGUGAAUCAUCGAAUCUUUGAACGCAUAUUGCGCUCUCUGGUAUUCCGGAGAGCAUGCUUGUUUGAGUAUCAGUAAACACCUCAACUCCCUUUUCUUUUUUGAAAUGGGAGCUGGACUUGAGUGAUCCCAACACUUUUCUCACUGGAAAGUGGCGGGUCACUUGAAAUGCAGGUGCAGCUGGACUUUUCUCUGAGCUAUAAGCAUAUCUAUUUAGUCUGCCUAAAAAACAGAUUAUUACCUUUGCUGCAGCUAACAUAAAGGAGAUGAGUUCUUUUGCUGACUGAUGCAGGAUUCACAGAGACAGCUUUGCGGCUGACUUUGUAAACUCGAUCUCAAAUCAAGUAAGACUACCCGCUGAACUUAAGCAUAUCAAUAAGCGGAGGA